CACAUGCAUACAUACAUAUGCACAUAUAUAUGUAUGUAAAUCUCACGUACCUUGUCUUCUUUAUAGUGUCUUCUGGGUGCAAGAUUCUGUCUUCAACUUAGUAAUAACCACAUCUUACGGCAGCCGUCAGCAAUCCACUCACAAACAUCUACAUCUCACUUUCAAGAAACAUCCAAGCAGCGCCAGUUCUUUAUAAAUAUUGUAGAAUACAUGUGCGAAUGGCUACGAUUGCGCUGUUACAUUUCGGUGUUAUUGAUUAGGACCAGUGUUGCCAGUUGGCUUGAGACCAUGGUAUAUCUAUAAAAGAUAGUCAUACAGCUAUUAAGGUUUCGCGGUUCAGAAUUUUAAUCCAAAGUUGUCCAAUUAAGAGUGUGCCCAUACCUCAAACUAUCGAUGCAUAUUGUGAUCGAUAUGUAAGAUGGCGAUGUUGAUUUCUGUUUAUUUAUUCACCCAGAAGACAUGCAGGAAAACAAUAAGUACGCCAACGGGAAUGGCAGUAAUAUUGAGGGCAUUAUGCGACCAAUUACUUCCAUGGAAAAACCUAUGCUUAAGUCGGACUUGGCAAAAGCCAUGAGGCAACUGGGCAUGCGCGGCAUACGGCCUCUGCGCAGCUACACGUGAGCGCAUCUUCGCAAGAGGGAGGGUGCCGGCGCUUUCAUUGUGAAUCCCCCAAGCAGCGGACGCUCGUUGGAGUAUGCAUUCGAUAUUCGAUAUGGAACAGGGACGGGACCCCUUUUCCUGGUUCUAAUGCCAGAGGCAAAGCGAAUGCAAGGAGUCGCAAGCUUUUUCCACGUAUUUAUACCAACAAAAUAUCGCCGAGGGUGACCAAACGGAAGCAGGUAUGAUGUUGAUGUUGAUCCGCAUUCAACAUACCGUCGACGGACUACCCAAUGCCUAUUCACGUGUGAUUCUUCAGCGAGCCCUGGAAGCACUGUAGAAAAGAUCUGGCAAUUUCUUCAAAAUAUGCAAGAAUGUAUAAACAUCAAGUACUCGUACCUACGUUUCCACGAAUAAGAAUAUACGAAGAAAUAAAGGCCAA
Molecule: small RNA, 1039 nt
Filed under: Drosophila pseudoobscura pseudoobscura
Lineage: Eukaryota; Metazoa; Arthropoda; Insecta; Diptera; Drosophilidae
Description: GA30972
Source: RNAcentral